Molecule: long non-coding RNA, 826 nt
Organism: Neofelis nebulosa (Clouded leopard)
Lineage: Eukaryota; Metazoa; Chordata; Mammalia; Carnivora; Felidae
Exons: 4
Source: RefSeq, a predicted model, not a curated record
CUUUCUUGCCUCCUUUCGGAUUGAUUAUUUUUCUCAUUCUAUUUUCUUCCUUCUCUUAACCUGGAAGUUAAAUAAUCUAUUUCUCUUCUAUUAGCAAAUACCUGACAGUUAAUAAAGUACUCGUGAAUUCAUAUAUAAUUUAUACAUUUUUUUAUUUAGCCUUCAUUUUUGAAAGACGUUUUCUAUGAGUAUAGUAGCCCCCCUAAUCUAUGGUUUCCCUUUCCACAGUUUUAGUUACCCUUGGUCAGCCAUGGUUCAGAAGCAAGCAAUCCUCCUGACAUAUUGUCAGAAAGUCAGUAGUAGCCUAACACUACAUUACAAGCCUACAUCAUUCACCUCAUUCAUCUCAUCUUGUAGGCAUUUUAUCAUCUCACAUCAUCACAAGGAGAAAGGUACAAUCAGGAGGUACCACCAGCACAGGACUACUUGAAUCCAAAUAGUGUGCAGUUUUUCACAUCACCCAGAAAUGGACACCUUGCUGAAACUUUCAGGGAUGGUCAGAGAGCCGAUCUGUGAGUGGGACACCGAUAGAUUGGGCUCUCUAGUGCUCGGCUCAGGACCUAAAAGGGAAGGAAGAGAGAAAUUUGGACACAGACAUACAGACACAGAGAGAAGAUGGCCAUGUGAAGGUGGAGGCAGAGAAUGAAAUAAUGCUUCCACAAGCCAAGGAACACCAAGGAUUCUGGGAACCACCAGAAGCCAGAAGAGACAAGGAAGGAUUCUUCCCUAGAGGCUUUAGAGAGAGAGUAUGGGCCUGCUGACACCCUGGUUUCAGAUUUCUAGCCUCCAGAACUGUGAGAGAAUAAAUUUCUGUUAUUUUAAGCCA